RNAcentral lists this ribosomal RNA (490 nucleotides) under uncultured bacterium. RNAcentral describes it as "partial 16S ribosomal RNA". It matches the Rfam family "Bacterial small subunit ribosomal RNA", at positions 30 to 507 of the family's 1533-position model. The record is from RNAcentral.
AUUGAACGCUGGCGGCAGGCCUAACACAUGCAAGUCGAACGGUAACAGGAAGAAGCUUGCCUCUUUGCUGACGCGUGGCGGACGGGUGUGAAAUGUCUGGGAAACUGCCUGAUGGAGGGGGAUAACUACUGGAAACAGUAGCGAUAACCGCAUAACGUCGCAAGACCAAAGAGGGGGACCUCCGGGCCCCUUGCCAUCGGAUAUGCCCAGAUGGGAUUAGCUAGUAGGUGGGGUAACGGCCCACCCAGGCGACGAUCCCUAGCUGGUCUGUGAGGAUGACCAGCCACACUGGAACUGAGACACGGUCCAGACUCCUACGGGAGGCAGCAGUGGGGAAUAUUGGACAAUGGGCGCAAGCCUGAUGCAGCCAUGCCGCGUGGAUGAAGAAGGCCUUCGGGUUGUAAAGUACUUUCGGCGGGGAGGAAGGGAGUAAGGUUAAUACCUUUGCUUAUUGACGUUACCCACAGAAGAAGCACCGGCUAACUCCGUG